Molecule: ribosomal RNA, 870 nt
Filed under: uncultured bacterium
Lineage: Bacteria
Description: bacterial SSU rRNA
Rfam family: Bacterial small subunit ribosomal RNA
Source: RNAcentral
AGAGUUUUAUUCUGGGUUCAGGAUGGAACGCGGGCGGGCGUGCCUAAUACAUGCAAGUCGAACGAACAAGAACAGUUAAGCUUGCUUAGCAGUUUGCGUUAGUGGCGAACGGGUGAGUAAUACAUAAAUAACCUGCCCCUAUGUUCGGAAUAACAGUGGAAAACGACUGCUAAUGCCAAAUACGUUAUCUUAAGGCAUCUUAAGAUAAUAAAAGAUGGGAUACAUCGCAAAGGGAUGGAUUUAUGGCGCAUUAGUUAGUUGGUGAGGUAACGGCUCACCAAGACGAUGAUGCGUAGCCGGCCUGAGAGGGUGACCGGCCACACUGGGACUGAGACACGGCCCAGACUCCUACGGGAGGCAGCAGUAGGGAAUUUUCGGCAAUGGGGGCAACCCUGACCGAGCGACGCCGCGUGAGUGAAGAAGGCCUUCGGGUUGUAAAGCUCUGUUGUAAGGGAAGAACCGUAGUGAUAGGGAAUGAUCACUACCUGACGGUACCUUACCAGAAAGCCACGGCUAACUACGUGCCAGCAGCCGCGGUAAUACGUAGGUGGCAAGCGUUAUCCGGAAUUAUUGGGCGUAAAGGGAGCGCAGGCGGUUUAUUAAGUCUGAUGUUAAAACACGGAGCUCAACUUCGUGAUGCAUUAGAAACUGGUAGACUAGAGUGCAGGAGAGGUGAGUGGAAUUCCAUGUGUAGCGGUAAAAUGCGUAGAUAUAUGGAGGAACACCAGUGGCGAAGGCGGCUCACUGGCCUGUAACUGACGCUGAGGCUCGAAAGCGUGGGGAGCAAAUAGGAUUAGAUACCCUAGUAGUCCACGCCGUAAACGAUGAAUACUAGGUGUUGGAGUAGAACUUCAGUGCCGCAGUUAACGC